This 259-nucleotide ribosomal RNA is filed under the name uncultured bacterium. RNAcentral describes it as "partial 16S ribosomal RNA". It matches the Rfam family "Bacterial small subunit ribosomal RNA", at positions 99 to 354 of the family's 1533-position model. The record is from RNAcentral.
CGGACGGGUGAGUAACACGUAGAGAACCUACCUUACACAAGGGGGACGAACGGCUGGAAACGGCUGCUAAUACCGCAUAAGCACCCAGUUUCGCAUGAAACAGAGUGAAAAGAGUAAAUCGGUGUAAGAUUGGCUCUGCGUCUGAUUAGCUAGUUGGUGGGGUAAAGGCUCACCAAGGCGACGAUCAGUAGCCGGCCUGAGAGGGCGACCGGCCACAUUGGGACUGAGACACGGCCCAGACUCCUACGGGAGGCAGCAG